ACAGCGCGGCACCUACAGUAG
RNAcentral lists this unclassified non-coding RNA (21 nucleotides) under Mus musculus (house mouse). RNAcentral's name for it is "oocyte_clustered_small_RNA13418". Lineage: Eukaryota; Metazoa; Chordata; Mammalia; Rodentia; Muridae. The record is from RNAcentral.